This 253-nucleotide ribosomal RNA is filed under the name uncultured bacterium. Its description in RNAcentral is "partial 16S ribosomal RNA". It matches the Rfam family "Bacterial small subunit ribosomal RNA", at positions 524 to 776 of the family's 1533-position model. The record is from RNAcentral.
UACGGAGGGUGCGAGCGUUAAUCGGAAUUACUGGGCGUAAAGCGUGCGUAGGUGGUUCGUUGUGUCUGUGGUGAAAGCCCCGGGCUUAACCUGGGAAUGGCCAUGGAAACUGGCGAGCUGGAGUCUGGCAGAGGGGGGUGGAAUUCCGCGUGUAGCAGUGAAAUGCGUAGAGAUGCGGAGGAACACCGAUGGCGAAGGCAGCCCCCUGGGCUAAGACUGACGCUGAGGCACGAAAGCGUGGGGAGCAAACAGG